RNAcentral lists this ribosomal RNA (705 nucleotides) under uncultured fungus. Its description in RNAcentral is "SSU rRNA". It matches the Rfam family "Eukaryotic small subunit ribosomal RNA", at positions 826 to 1555 of the family's 1831-position model. Lineage: Eukaryota; Fungi. The record is from RNAcentral.
ACGCGCGUUCCCAUUUUGUUGGUUUCUGAGAUCGCCGUAAUGAUUAAUAGGGAUAGUUGGGGGCAUUUGUAUUCCGUCGUCAGAGGUGAAAUUCUUGGAUUGCCGGAAGACAAACUAUUGCGAGAGCAUUUGCCAAGGAUGUUUUCAUUGAUCAAGAACGAAGGAAGGGGGAUCGAAAACGAUCAGAUACCGUUGUAGUCUCUUCUGUAAACUAUGCCAAUUGGGGAUUAGCUCAGGAUUUUUAAUGACUGAGUUAGCACCCGAAGAGAAAUCUUUAGAUGAGGUUCGGGGGGGAGUAUGGUCGCAAGGCUGAAACUUAAAGGAAUUGACGGAAGGGCACCACCAGGUGUGGAGCCUGCGGCUUAAUUUGACUCAACACGGGGAAACUCACCAGGUCCAGACACAAUAAGGAUUGACAGAUUGAUAGCUCUUUCUUGAUCUUGUGGUUGGUGGUGCAUGGCCGUUCUUAGUUGGUGGAGUGAUUUGUCUGGUUAAUUCCGAUAACGAACGAGACCUUAACCUGCUAAAUAGACCAGCCGGCUUUGGCUGGCUGCUGUCUUCUUAGAGGGACUAUCAGCGUUUAGCUGAUGGAAGUUUGAGGCAAUAACAGGUCUGUGAUGCCCUUAGAUGUUCUGGGCCGCACACGCGCUACACUGACAGAGCCAGCGAGUUCUCUCCUCCACCGGAAGGUGUGGGUAAUCUUGU